UACAGAGGGUGCAAACGUUGCUCGGAAUUACUGGGCGUAAAGCGCGUGUAGGCGGUCCGCUAAGUUGGUAGUGAAAUCCCAUGGCUCAACCAUGGAAGUGCUGCCAAAACUGGCGGGCUGGAGUGUCGGAGAGGGUGGCGGAAUUCCCAGUGUAGAGGUGAAAUUCGUAGAUAUUGGGAGGAACACCGGUGGCGAAGGUGGCCACCUGGACGAUAACUGACGCUGAGACGCGAAAGCGUGGGGAGCAAACAGG
RNAcentral lists this unclassified non-coding RNA (253 nucleotides) under uncultured Myxococcales bacterium. RNAcentral's name for it is "contains 16S-23S intergenic spacer region". It matches the Rfam family "Bacterial small subunit ribosomal RNA", at positions 524 to 776 of the family's 1533-position model. The record is from RNAcentral. Lineage: Bacteria; Pseudomonadati; Myxococcota; Myxococcia; Myxococcales.